This 209-nucleotide long non-coding RNA is filed under the name Elaeis guineensis (African oil palm). RNAcentral describes it as "long non-coding RNA (EGUI_LNC070076)". The record is from RNAcentral. Lineage: Eukaryota; Viridiplantae; Streptophyta; Magnoliopsida; Arecales; Arecaceae.
CUAGGAUCUGACUAUGAAGAAGCUCGACUGAAGUCUGUCUGUAAUAGAAGUUCGAAAGAAAUUCAUUUACAGUAGAGGCUCAGAUGGAAUUCGCAUACAGUAGAGAUCCGGAGUAGACCGCCUGCAGUAGAAGUUCGAAGUAGACUGCUUACGGUAGAAGUUCAGAGUAGAGAUCUGGCUGGUGGAGCCCUUCGUUGUCAAAAUUCAUC